RNAcentral lists this long non-coding RNA (378 nucleotides) under Cyanistes caeruleus (blue tit). Its description in RNAcentral is "lncRNA (ENSCCEG00000002833.1)". Lineage: Eukaryota; Metazoa; Chordata; Aves; Passeriformes; Paridae. The record is from RNAcentral.
UUCUAGUUAAUCUGCAGCUGUAUGAGUGACACUCCAGCUUUGGCCAGUCCCAAGAAGCACAUGGAGCAGGGGAGGCUGGAGAUGCCAAUGAAACACAGACCAUACAACCCCCAGCUUCUGGCCCUGGAGGAGAGGGUGCUCUGAGGAAUCCUGAAGGAGUGCUGGAGGAAGGAUUUGGUAACAUGUCCAUGCCAGUACUGCACUUAUCCCAAAUUUCCUGCUAUGGAGGAAGAACAUAUGUCAAAGCUCACUGUUUGUUAAAUUGAAAAGAUUCAGUACACCAGAAGCUUCUCUUCUAAACAUUGUGACUUUGUGCAAUUUACAGAAUGUUCUAUCUCCAUUAAACAAUAAACCCUUGACCCCUGGAGCUGGCUUUCA